This 848-nucleotide ribosomal RNA is filed under the name Maribacter orientalis. RNAcentral's name for it is "bacterial SSU rRNA". It matches the Rfam family "Bacterial small subunit ribosomal RNA", at positions 27 to 870 of the family's 1533-position model. The record is from RNAcentral. Lineage: Bacteria; Pseudomonadati; Bacteroidota; Flavobacteriia; Flavobacteriales; Flavobacteriaceae.
GGAUGAACGCUAGCGGCAGGCCUAACACAUGCAAGUCGAGGGGUAACAGGGAGCUUGCUCCGCUGACGACCGGCGCACGGGUGCGCACCGCGUAUGGAACCUACCUUUUACAGGGGAAUAGCCCAGGGAAACUUGGAUUAAUGCCCCGUGGUACCACGACCUGGCAUCAGGAUGUGGUUAAAGCCUUCGGGCGGUAGAAGAUGGCCAUGCGUCCCAUUAGUUUGUUGGUAAGGUAACGGCUUACCAAGACUACGAUGGGUAGGGGCCCUGAGAGGGGGAUCCCCCACACUGGUACUGAGACACGGACCAGACUCCUACGGGAGGCAGCAGUGAGGAAUAUUGGACAAUGGAGGAGACUCUGAUCCAGCCAUGCCGCGUGCAGGAAGAAUGCCCUAUGGGUAGUAAACUGCUUUUAUACAGGAAGAAAAAAGGGUACGUGUACCCUACUGACGGUACUGUAAGAAUAAGGACCGGCUAACUCCGUGCCAGCAGCCGCGGUAAUACGGAGGGUCCGAGCGUUAUCCGGAAUUAUUGGGUUUAAAGGGUCCGUAGGCGGGCGAUUAAGUCAGUGGUGAAAGUCUGUAGCUCAACUAUAGAAUUGCCUUUGAUACUGAUCGUCUUGAGUUAUAGUGAAGUUGCCGGAAUAUGUAGUGUAGCGGUGAAAUGCAUAGAUAUUACAUAGAACACCGAUUGCGAAGGCAGGUGACUAACUAUAUACUGACGCUGAUGGACGAAAGCGUGGGGAGCGAACAGGAUUAGAUACCCUGGUAGUCCACGCCGUAAACGAUGGAUACUAGCUGUCCGGAACCUUGAGUUCUGGGCGGCCAAGCGAAAGUGAUAAGUAUCCC